CACGUAGGAGGCGAGCGUUGUCCGGAAUCAUUGGGCGUAAAGAGCGCGCAGGCGGCUUGGCAAGUCGGGUGUGAAAUCCCGGGGCUCAACCCCGGGACUGCAUUCGAUACUGUCAGGCUAGAGGUAGGUAGGGGAGAUCGGAAUUCCUGGUGUAGCGGUGAAAUGCGCAGAUAUCAGGAGGAACACCGGUGGCGAAGGCGGCAUCCUGGACCAAUAUUGACGCUGAGGAGCGAAAGCCAGGGGAGCAAACGGG
This 253-nucleotide ribosomal RNA is filed under the name uncultured bacterium. RNAcentral's name for it is "partial 16S ribosomal RNA". It matches the Rfam family "Bacterial small subunit ribosomal RNA", at positions 524 to 776 of the family's 1533-position model. The record is from RNAcentral.